Molecule: ribosomal RNA, 484 nt
Filed under: uncultured bacterium
Lineage: Bacteria
Description: bacterial SSU rRNA
Rfam family: Bacterial small subunit ribosomal RNA
Source: RNAcentral
AUGAACGCUAGCGGCAGGCUUAACACAUGCAAGUCGAGGGGCAACACGGGUAGCAAUACCUGGUGGCGACCGGCGCAAGGGUGCGUAACGCGUGAGCAACAUGCCCUAUACAGGGGGAUAAUCCAGGGAAACUUGGUCUAAUAUCCCAUAGUAUUUAGAGGUGGCAUCACCACUAAAUUAAAGCUUCGGUGGUAUAGGAUUGGCUCGCGUGACAUUAGCUGGAUGGUGGGGUAACGGCUCACCAUGGCGAUGAUGUCUAGGGGUUCUGAGAGGAAGACCCCCCACACUGGGACUGAGACACGGCCCAGACGUCCUACGGGAGGCAGCAGUGAGGAAUAUUGGACAAUGGAUGGAAAUCUGAUCCAGCCAUGCCGCGUGCAGGAAGACGGCCCUAUGGGUUGUAAACUGCUUUUAUAUGGGAGCAAUAAGGUUUACGCGUAGACCGAUGAGAGUACCAUAUGAAUAAGCAUCGGCUAACUCCGUG